Molecule: transfer RNA, 72 nt
Filed under: Pelobates cultripes (western spadefoot toad)
Lineage: Eukaryota; Metazoa; Chordata; Amphibia; Anura; Pelobatidae
Description: tRNA.Val
Rfam family: tRNA
About the family: Transfer RNA (tRNA) molecules are approximately 80 nucleotides in length. Their secondary structure includes four short double-helical elements and three loops (D, anti-codon, and T loops).
Source: RNAcentral
GGAUUCAUAGUGUAGUGGUUAUCAUGUCUGCUUUACAUGCAGAAGGUCCUGGGUUGAUCCCCAGUGAAGCCA